AUGGAGGUUCCUACUUGUGCUACUGGAACCUGUUGACAGGAAGAAGUUGAUGCUGUAUAAGAGCACACCCAGAGCUAAAGGCGCAGGAAAGUGAGCAGGUAGUACUGAAGUGUUACAGAAGCUUUAAGCAGCUACUCUGGUUAUGAAUGUCAGUUCCCUGGGAGAGGGGGAGAGACUAGAGUUAGAGCAAUAACUUAGUAUGAGAUGCACAUCAGUUUAGAGAACAGCCUGUGCUGUUGCUUGUAUAAAUAGAGAUUAGUGUAAACUUUAGAACAGCUGGUUCACAUUAGACCUUGUGAAUUAAAGUAGCUGCUAAAGUAAAGUCAGUGGUAUAAUGUAAUGCUGGGACAAGGAGAAUCAACAGUUAAGAGCAAAAGGGGAGGAACCUAAACCAACAGCAAAUUAUACAACAGCUGCUGUGCACCACCCCAUUCUUAUCACAAGCACACUGCUUGAGCAGACAAGUCUGCAAUCAGUGCACUCCACCAUGGCAAAACACAUACUUGGGCUGUGUGUCUGGGCUUUGUCUCUGGCUGUUGCAGCUGCUGCUCCUCCGCAGGACAGAGAGGUCCAGAACAGCGAUGACCCUCCCUUUUGCAGAUGGUGCGGUGUGCUGCUAGAUGUACAGCAACAUCAACUCACUGUCAAGCCUCAAGUGCAACAGGUGUUGGACAGCCGCCCCGAUAACCGGCCCUCCGACGCCAAGGCGAGGCUGCUCGAUUUCUCGUGACCGCUGUCCUUUGCCGGCACGUACCUGCACGCAGCUCUAAUCCUUGAAAAAUUGUGCUCUACAAGGUGCAAUAAA
Molecule: long non-coding RNA, 805 nt
Filed under: Scleropages formosus (Asian bonytongue)
Lineage: Eukaryota; Metazoa; Chordata; Actinopteri; Osteoglossiformes; Osteoglossidae
Description: lncRNA (ENSSFOG00015024718.1)
Source: RNAcentral